CCUACGGGUGGCAGCAGUGGGGAAUAUUGCACAAUGGGCGCAAGCCUGAUGCAGCCAUGCCGCGUGUGUGAAGAAGGCCUUCGGGGUGUAAAGCACUGUCAGCGGGGAGGAAGGCGUUAAGGUUAAUAACCUUGGCGAUUGACGUUACCCGCAGAAGAAGCAGCGGCUAACUCCGUGCCAGCAGCCGCGGUAAUACGGAGGGUGCAAGCGUUAAUCGGAAUUACUGGGCGUAAAGCGCACGCAGGCGGUCUGUCAAGUCGGAUGUGAAAUCCCCGGGCUCAACCUGGGAACUGCAUUCGAAACUGGCAGGCUAGAGUCUUGUAGAGGGGAGUAGAAUUCCAGGUGUAGCGGUGAAAUGCGUAGAGAUCGGGAGGAAUACCGGUGGCGAAGGCGGCCCCCUGGACAAAGACUGACGCUCAGGUGCGAAAGCGUGGGGAGCAAACAGGAUUAGAUACCCGAGUAGUC
This 465-nucleotide ribosomal RNA is filed under the name uncultured Klebsiella sp. Its description in RNAcentral is "bacterial SSU rRNA". It matches the Rfam family "Bacterial small subunit ribosomal RNA", at positions 338 to 795 of the family's 1533-position model. Lineage: Bacteria; Pseudomonadati; Pseudomonadota; Gammaproteobacteria; Enterobacterales; Enterobacteriaceae. The record is from RNAcentral.